AACGAACGCUGGCGGCAUGCCUAACACAUGCAAGUCGAACGAGACCUUCGGGUCUAGUGGCGCACGGGUGUGUAACGCGUGGGAAUCUGCCCUUGGGUUCGGAAUAACAGUUGUAAACGACUGCUAAUACCGGAUGAUGACGUAAGUCCAAAGAUUUAUCGCCCAGGGAUGAGCCCGCGUAGGUUUAGCUAGUUGGUGGGGUAAAGGCCUACCAAGGCGACGAUCCUUAGCUGGUCUGAGAGGAUGAUCAGCCACACUGGGACUGAGACACGGCCCAGACUCCUACGGGAGGCAGCAGUGGGGAAUAUUGGACAAUGGGCGAAAGCCUGAUCCAGCAAUGCCGCGUGAGUGAUGAAGGCCUUAGGGUUGUAAAGCUCUUUUACCCGGGAUGAUAAUGACAGUACCGGGAGAAUAAGCCCCGGCUAACUCCGUG
RNAcentral lists this ribosomal RNA (433 nucleotides) under uncultured bacterium. Its description in RNAcentral is "partial 16S ribosomal RNA". It matches the Rfam family "Bacterial small subunit ribosomal RNA", at positions 29 to 507 of the family's 1533-position model. The record is from RNAcentral.